GACAGAGGGUGCAAACGUUGUUCGGAAUUACUGGGCGUAAAGCGCGUGUAGGCGGCAGGGCAUGUCGGAUGUGAAAUCCCGUGGCUCAACCACGGAAGUGCACCCGAAACUGCCCAGCUUGAGUCUCGGAGAGGAAGGCGGAAUGCUUGGUGUAGAGGUGAAAUUCGUAGAUAUCAAGCGGAACACCGGUGGCGAAGGCGGCCUUCUGGACGAUGACUGACGCUGAGACGCGAAAGCUAGGGGAGCAAACGGG
RNAcentral lists this ribosomal RNA (253 nucleotides) under uncultured bacterium. Its description in RNAcentral is "partial 16S ribosomal RNA". It matches the Rfam family "Bacterial small subunit ribosomal RNA", at positions 524 to 776 of the family's 1533-position model. The record is from RNAcentral.